UACGUAGGGGGCGAGCGUUGUCCGGAUUUAUUGGGCGUAAAGGGCCCGCAGGCGGUCGCGUCAGUUUGGGGUUACAGCUCCCGGCUUAACUGGGAGAGCGCCUCGAAGACGGCGUGACUCGAGGACUUCAGAGGGACACAGAAUUCCGGGUGUAGUGGUGAAAUGCGUAGAUAUCCGGAGGAAUACCAAAGGCGAAGGCAGUGUCCUGGGGAGUACCUGACGCUCAUGGGCGAAAGCUAGGGGAGCGAACGG
RNAcentral lists this ribosomal RNA (252 nucleotides) under uncultured bacterium. RNAcentral describes it as "partial 16S ribosomal RNA". It matches the Rfam family "Bacterial small subunit ribosomal RNA", at positions 524 to 775 of the family's 1533-position model. The record is from RNAcentral.